This 256-nucleotide ribosomal RNA is filed under the name uncultured soil bacterium. Its description in RNAcentral is "partial 16S ribosomal RNA". It matches the Rfam family "Bacterial small subunit ribosomal RNA", at positions 26 to 284 of the family's 1533-position model. The record is from RNAcentral.
AGGACGAACGCUGGCGGCGUGCUUAACACAUGCAAGUCGAGCGGUAAGGCCCUUUCGGGGGUACACGAGCGGCGAACGGGUGAGUAACACGUGAGUAAUCUGCCCUCCACUUGGGGAUAAGCUUCGGAAACGGGGUCUAAUACCUGAUACGACAACUACCUGCAUGGGUUGGUUGUGGAAAGUUUUUUCGGUGGGGGAUGUGCUCGCGGCCUAUCAGCUUGUUGGUGGGUAAUGGCCUACCAAGGCUUCGACGGGU